CAUGUGGAGUUUGUUACGGAGAGUAGUGGUGUCCGUUGUCGUGACUUGCCAGAGAGUGGUGGGGCCACAUGGAGUUUGUUACGGAGAGUAGUGGUGUUCGUUGUCGCGACUUGUCAGAAAGUGGUGGGGCCACGUGGAGUUUGUUACGGAAGGUGGAGUGAUGUCCGUUGUCGCGAUUUGCCGAAAAAUUCGGACCGGAUGGCUGAAGCUCGGUUGGGACGUCUGG
Molecule: long non-coding RNA, 226 nt
Filed under: Elaeis guineensis (African oil palm)
Lineage: Eukaryota; Viridiplantae; Streptophyta; Magnoliopsida; Arecales; Arecaceae
Description: long non-coding RNA (EGUI_LNC026779)
Source: RNAcentral